AGUGAACGCUGGCGGUAGGCUUAACACAUGCAAGUCGAACGGCAGCACAGUAAGAGCUUGCUCUUACGGGUGGCGAGUGGCGGAAGGGUGAGGAAUACAUCGGCAUCUACUUUUUCGUGGGGGAUAACGUAGGGAAACUUACGCUGAUACCGCAUACGACCUACGGGUGAAAGCAGGGGAUCUUCGGACCUUGCGCGAUUGAAUGAGCCGAUGUCGGAUUAGCUAGUUGGCGGGGUCAAGGCCCACCAAGGCGGCGAUCCGUAGCUGGUCUGAGAGGAUGAGGUGGCAGACUGGAAAGGAGAGACGGUCCAGAGGCCUAUGAGAGACAGCAGUGAGGAAUAUUGGAGGAAGGGGGGGAGACUAUUCCAGACAGACCGCGAGGGUGAAGAAGGCCUUCUGGGUGUAAAGUGCAUUUGUUGGGAAAGAAAAGCAGCUGCAUAAGACCCCGCUGUUCUGACGGUACCCAAAGAAGAAGCACCGGCUAACUUCGUG
Molecule: ribosomal RNA, 492 nt
Filed under: uncultured bacterium
Lineage: Bacteria
Description: partial 16S ribosomal RNA
Rfam family: Bacterial small subunit ribosomal RNA
Source: RNAcentral